GGGGAGAUGGCUCAGUGGUUGAUAGCAUUGGCUGCUAUUCCAAAGGACCUGGAUUCGAUUCCCAGUGCCUACA
This 73-nucleotide transfer RNA is filed under the name Mus musculus (house mouse). It matches the Rfam family "tRNA". From Rfam's summary of the family: Transfer RNA (tRNA) molecules are approximately 80 nucleotides in length. Their secondary structure includes four short double-helical elements and three loops (D, anti-codon, and T loops). The record is from Rfam by way of RNAcentral. Lineage: Eukaryota; Metazoa; Chordata; Mammalia; Rodentia; Muridae.